This 1886-nucleotide long non-coding RNA is filed under the name Gallus gallus (chicken). Its description in RNAcentral is "lncRNA (ENSGALG00010006981.1)". The record is from RNAcentral. Lineage: Eukaryota; Metazoa; Chordata; Aves; Galliformes; Phasianidae.
GGGGGGAACAGCCUUACAAGGACAGAGCAGUCUAGGCUGUCCCAUAUGGAGUUUCAGAAGGGCUCAGUGCAGUGGUGUGUUAGCAGAAUGCACACUGAGGCAUGGGAAGCACCGAGAAGCCCACUGGCCUUUCCAUGCCACCUGCUCCUUGCUGGGAAACACCCUGCUUGGCAGCUGUAGGUGCCAGCAUAUCUGCUCUGCUCCUCCAGGAAAAGAACAAAUAAAGCAAAGGCUUAAUAAGACAGGUGUUUUUCGUAUUACUGGUGUCUCCUUUUCCCUUUCUUCUUCUUUUUCUUUUUAUUUUAAACAUAAAACCAAACCCAAAUGUCUGACUAACCUUGACUGGAACUAACCUGAUACUCUGCAAUGUGUAGAGUGGGCAAUAAACUAUGGUGCAUAUAGCUUCUCAACACUGCAUUUCCAUUUUAACUGCUCAGCUAUGAGUGUAUUUCACUCAUACUGUAACUCAAAUGAUUACAGAUUACUUUAAUGCAAUUUGCUCUUUUUUUACUUUCAUGGAUUUUAGAAAAUUAAUAGACAUGAGCAAGCUUGCCAGGAAGUUUGAGGGCAGAGACAAAUGAAGGUCUUGGAAGCCCAAAACACAAGCUACUUAGCUACUCAAACUAUGCCCUUCUGAGAAAGGAAAUAUAUAGUGUGAUAUAUUUGUUUGCUGUCACCGGCAGGAAGUCCUGCCAGGAUAGCCUCACCACUUUGGCUGGUGGUCAAGUCCUCUCUCCAUACACAAAGUCAAAGCAAAGCCAGGGACACUAGGGACACCCACUCACUGCCAUUGGCCUGAGAACACCUUCCUGAUGAAAACAUAGCACAGGUGAAUCAAAACUAAACAUUUGAGAGAAGACUUCACUGUUCAGGUUCCAAAGCCAAGGAUCUGAAGGCACCCCUCAAGCCACCCAUCAGUCUGUCCCACCACAGAGGCAAGGAGCCCAGCAGUGGUUGCGUGAGGAGGCUGCCUAUUUGGGAUGCCAAAGAGGCACAGUGGCUGGCAACUCCCAGCACCGAAACUUGGAGGAGCAUGUUCGAGAGCCCUGAUCAGACAAAAUGGCCUUUAUCAUCCCUAAGGUACACCUCGCCUCAGCUGAACACCAUCACCUGCCUCAGAGGACCGGCAUUCAACAUGUUUUGCCAGAAAUAGGAUGCCCAUGGCGUGGAGAACAGUGUGAUGCUUGCACACAGCUAUCUGCAACCUUGUAAUUCUCACCAUCCACAAAAUAGACUACAGACUUUAAAAGUUGAUUUUUUAUGCUGAUAUCAAAAAACAGAUGAUACUUUAUUAAGAUGUAGUUUGGAGGCACGUACAGAGAGACAAAGGUGCUAGCCAAAGGGCUAGUAUAUCCGAACAUGGGCAUUUUAUUGCUUAUCAUUUCUCCUAACCAUUCUCUCCCCCCUCCCUGAGCCUCCGCCCAUGAAAUUGAAAGAUUUCUAGUAGAAAUGCCUUUGUUGUAUCAGCUUUGGAAAUAUGGAUUACAGUAUUCUGUGAAAAACAUUUAUUACUCUGAACUGUGACUCGGACAUUGUUGCAUUUCUAGGGUUAUAGAUUUUCUUUCAGCUAAACUAAGGCUGUAAGUCACAGUGACAGUUGUAAUGUGUGUAAUACCACAGUACCAGAUUCUAUUACAUACAUAUUUUUGCUAGAGGUUUAUGAUGUUAAAAAUAUUUCUUCUUUUCCCAAUAUCUUUCUGUACCUGUUGUGUAAAUAUAUUGGAACCUAUAACACUGAAUUUUCAGAUGAAAGUGCAUGGGAACAAGUAGUUUGUCCUUUUCAAAUAAAAUAUAUAAAAAAAAAAAAGGAGGGGGGAAGGGAACACUGCAUACAAACUAAUUAUAUUCAAGCACAAUAUUGAAUUGUAAUAAAAGAUGAAUGAGAG